GCUCCAUCAGCUCAGUUGGUCAGAGCGUGGGUCUAAUAAACCCAAGGUCGCCGGUUCGAGCCCGGCAGGGAGUA
Molecule: transfer RNA, 74 nt
Filed under: Pelagophyceae sp. CCMP2097
Lineage: Eukaryota; Pelagophyceae
Description: tRNA-Ile
Rfam family: tRNA
About the family: Transfer RNA (tRNA) molecules are approximately 80 nucleotides in length. Their secondary structure includes four short double-helical elements and three loops (D, anti-codon, and T loops). Further hydrogen bonds mediate the characteristic L-shaped molecular structure. tRNAs have two regions of fundamental functional importance: the anti-codon, which is responsible for specific mRNA codon recognition, and the 3' end, to which the tRNAs corresponding amino acid is attached (by aminoacyl-tRNA synthetases). tRNAs cope with the degeneracy of the genetic code in two manners: having more than one tRNA (with a specific anti-codon) for a particular amino acid; and 'wobble' base-pairing, i.e. permitting non-standard base-pairing at the 3rd anti-codon position.
Source: RNAcentral